AGUCCACGCAUGGCCUCCUCUGAAGCUCCCUACCACCUGGCCAGGUCUCUGCUAUGUUGAGCUCCAUCUCUCAGUAGCAACCCACGUUGGGCACAGUCCUCUGUGUCUUAUGCAUUAACAAAUGUAACAUUCCUGACCAACAACCUUAUGAGGCAGACCGUUUUGUUACCAAUGCUGUCUUACGGAUGAAAGAUGGGAAGCACAGAGAGGCAUCAGGGUCUUUUCAAAUAAGUCAGCUCUUCACAUCAGGUGGCCAAAGUAUUGGAGUUUCAGCUUCAACAUCAGUCCUUCCAAUGAACACCCAGGACUGAUCUCCUUUAGGAUGGACUGGUUGGAUCUCCCAUAACUUCUCUCUGGGGCCAACCUCCUCCUUGGUCUGCUGAAGCACCAUCUAUUGUCAUCCCCAGAAGACCUCCCUUUGUGGUGCAGUAACCACCCUUCUAUCUGUCUCUGGAUAAGCCCCUCCACCUGAUUCUAGAACUGCUGAAGACUCUGUUGGGUCAAAAGUACCCUCAGGCUUCCCUGGUGGUCCAAUGGUUAAGAAAUCACCUGCAAAGUGCAGGGGACACGGGUUUGAUGUCUGGUUCAAGAAGAUCC
Bos taurus (domestic cattle) is the source of this 597-nucleotide long non-coding RNA. NCBI's taxonomy places the organism in Eukaryota, Metazoa, Chordata, Mammalia, Artiodactyla, Bovidae. The record is from Ensembl.